UACAGAGACUGCAAGCGUUAUUCGGAUUCACUGGGCGUAAAGGGUGCGCAGGCGGCCAAGUGUGUGAGGCGUGAAAGCCUGGGGCUUAACUCCAGAAUUGCACCUCAAACUACAUGGCUAGAGCAUUGGAGAGGGUAGCAGAAUUCACGGUGUAGCAGUGAAAUGCGUAGAUAUCGUGAGGAAUACCAGAGGCGAAGGCGGCUACCUGGACAAUUGCUGACGCUCAGGCACGAAAGCGUGGAGAGCAAAAGGG
Molecule: ribosomal RNA, 253 nt
Filed under: uncultured bacterium
Lineage: Bacteria
Description: partial 16S ribosomal RNA
Rfam family: Bacterial small subunit ribosomal RNA
Source: RNAcentral